UGCCAGCCGCCGCGGUAAUACGAAGGGGGCUAGCGUUGUUCGGAAUUACUGGGCGUAAAGCGCGCGUAGGCGGAUUAGUCAGUCAAGGGUGAAAUCCCGGGGCUCAACCCCGGAACUGCCUUUGAUACUGCAAGUCUAGAGUCCGAGAGAGGUGAGUGGAAUUCCUAGUGUAGAGGUGAAAUUCGUAGAUAUUAGGAAGAACACCAGUGGCGAAGGCGGCUCACUGGCUCGGUACUGACGCUGAGGUGCGAAAGCGUGGGGAGCAAACAGGAUUAGAUA
Molecule: ribosomal RNA, 279 nt
Filed under: uncultured bacterium
Lineage: Bacteria
Description: partial 16S ribosomal RNA
Rfam family: Bacterial small subunit ribosomal RNA
Source: RNAcentral